This 252-nucleotide ribosomal RNA is filed under the name Triticum aestivum (bread wheat). RNAcentral's name for it is "partial small subunit ribosomal RNA". Lineage: Eukaryota; Viridiplantae; Streptophyta; Magnoliopsida; Poales; Poaceae. The record is from RNAcentral.
AUGAAGAAGAUCUUGUUCAACAUGUUCUAUUCGAUACUGGUAGGAGAAGAACCUGACUCGGUAUUCUUAAAAAAGAGAGGACAGAACCAAGUCAAGAUGAUAUGGGUAGCCCCUUUUUCUUGUGCCAAAGAUCUUACCAUUUCUGAAGGAACUGGGGCUACAUUUCUUUUCAAUUUCCAUUCAAGAGUUUCUAUCUGUUUCCACGCCCUUUUCUUGAGACCUCGAAACAUGAGGACAAAUUACUUCUCUUAG